RNAcentral lists this unclassified non-coding RNA (307 nucleotides) under uncultured fungus. RNAcentral describes it as "partial contains small subunit ribosomal RNA, internal transcribed spacer 1, and 5.8S ribosomal RNA". The stretch from base 1 to 73 matches the Rfam family "Eukaryotic small subunit ribosomal RNA", at positions 1759 to 1831 of the family's 1831-position model. Lineage: Eukaryota; Fungi. The record is from RNAcentral.
GCAAACUUGGUCAUUUAGAGGAAGUAAAAGUCGUAACAAGGUCUCCGUUGGUGAACCAGCGGAGGGAUCAUUACCGGGUCUGACGACUGCCCGAACCAACACACCGUGAAUCAUAUUCUCUCUUCCGCUGCGGCGGGCCGCCCGCUGGAGGGGCCCCGGGGGGCCGAGAGGCCCCGGUCCGCCGAAGCGACCACUGAAGAAACCCUUCCAAAAGAUCUUCUGAGAGGCGCCGAUUGGCCUUCCUACGAAGGUAAUCACAACCCACAGCAAUGGAUCUCUUGGCUCUGGCAUCGAUGAAGAACGCAGC